RNAcentral lists this ribosomal RNA (328 nucleotides) under uncultured eukaryote. RNAcentral's name for it is "partial 18S ribosomal RNA". It matches the Rfam family "Eukaryotic small subunit ribosomal RNA", at positions 1470 to 1796 of the family's 1831-position model. The record is from RNAcentral.
CCCCUAGAUGUUCUGGGCCGCACGCGCGCUACACUGAACAGUUCAACAAGUCUUAACCUUGGCCGAUAGGUCUGGGUAAUCUUUGAACGCUGUUCGUGAUUGGGAUAGACCUUUGCAAUUAUGGGUCUUCAACGAGGAAUUCCUAGUAAACGCAAGUCAUCAGCUUGCAUUGAUUACGUCCCUGCCCUUUGUACACACCGCCCGUCGCUCCUACCGAUUGAAUGAUCCGAUGAAUAUCAUGGACUGAGAGUGUUAGAGUUUUCGGACUUCUACACUUCUCGGGAAGUGAAGUGAAUCUUAUCAUUUAGAGGAAGGAGAAGUCGUAACA